GACGAACGCUGGCGGCGUGCUUAACACAUGCAAGUCGAACGGAAAGGCCCUGCUUUUGUGGGGUGCUCGAGUGGCGAACGGGUGAGUAACACGUGAGUAACCUGCCCUUGACUUUUGGAUAACUUCAGGAAACUGGGGCUAAUACCGGAUAGGAGCUCCUGCUGCAUGGUGGGGGUUGGAAAGUUUCGGCUGUUGGGGAUGGACUCGCGGCUUAUCAGCUUGUUGGUGGGGUAGUGGCUUACCAAGGCUUGGACGGGUAGCCGGCCUGAGAGGGUUACCGGCGAAAUAAGAGAUGGGAUACGGACAGGACUCAAACGGAAGGCAGCAGUGGGGAAUAUUGGAAAAUGGACGGAAGCCUGAGGCAGCAAAGCCGCGUGGGGGAUGACGGCCUUGGGGUUGUAAAACGCUGUGACCUGUGACGAAGCGUGAGUGACGGUAAUGGGUAAAGAAGUACCGACUAACUACGU
This 467-nucleotide ribosomal RNA is filed under the name uncultured bacterium. Its description in RNAcentral is "partial 16S ribosomal RNA". It matches the Rfam family "Bacterial small subunit ribosomal RNA", at positions 28 to 506 of the family's 1533-position model. The record is from RNAcentral.